CCGGAAUUGGGUUCGCUGUCGCGUUCAAACUGAUCUGGAAAGGAUACUUGACAUACCCCAGACUAAUUCUUAGAACACUCCCUUGCACAUAGCCUCCGUGGAUACUUGUGGGAUGGAGAGCUUGCCGGCUUCAUUUAAAAAUAACCCUCCAGCACACCCUUCUGUGGGUCAUCGGAAGGCUAACGGAACAGAGAUGAGAAGAUACCAAGGCUGGCAGUCCAACAGGCACAGGAACAUGUGCUUUCGGUAGCUUAGGAAGCAGCCCCCACAUGUACCAUUUGCCAGGGUGGGUCAGAGAAAGCCUCACCUAUCAAGUGCUAUUUGAGAUGACAUAAUAGAACGCAAGUGGCACGGAAUAACAUUUCCCACGCUAUCCCUGAAAUCUUCCCAUCUGUCCUUGCCUCUGUUUUGCCACUGAAAUGUCCCUGGUUUAACCCUUUAUCUUCCCACCUAUUAAAGUAGCCCUUAAGUGGUCACCAGA
Molecule: long non-coding RNA, 481 nt
Organism: Felis catus (domestic cat)
Lineage: Eukaryota; Metazoa; Chordata; Mammalia; Carnivora; Felidae
Exons: 2
Source: RefSeq, a predicted model, not a curated record